Long non-coding RNA from Cyanistes caeruleus (blue tit), 1056 nucleotides. RefSeq lists it as uncharacterized. Lineage: Eukaryota; Metazoa; Chordata; Aves; Passeriformes; Paridae. The record is from RefSeq and is a predicted model, not a curated record.
GAAGAGAACCAUUCUGGCAACAGCAUGUUGCCAGACAAUUGCCAGACAUUUCCAACAAUGGAAGUGGAAACCUAAUACAAGAGUGUAGGCAGCUACCAACUUGCCCAUCCUUUUGUGUUGUUGUGCAGGUCCAUCACCAAAACAGGUUUCUUAGAGAAACUUCUACUGGUUUAUCAAACUAUAUCUGAGUGGAUUCUACCCUUCCUGGUGGAUGAAUACUUUGCAUGAAGUCUCGUGCAAGUUUGGAAUAUAAGAUGACAAGGCAAAAGUGCAAGAAUGUUGUUGGUUUCAAGUGAAAUGUUUCAUGCUUCAAGAGAUCUCAAGGAGAAGCACCGCCAGUGAUCAAAGGAGGAGAAUAUGUCAACUUUUGUUAGAGCCCAAACCCUGCAAUGAACUGCAGACUGAACAGAGUGGUCAGACCUUUAUCUUGAUGGAAGCAAAGUUACUGAGACUGUGACUUAGUGAGUGACCACGACCUGCUGUAACACAUGUACUCAGACCAGCCAGAUGUCAGGUGAAAAGGACUAAUCUCUACAGACAACGUGUUUUUUCAAGUCUUCCAGAGGCUAAAGGGUCCUUGUCUUCAUGGUUUUUCCUUGCAGAGAAGCUAUUCUGUACUUUUGAUCAUCUUUGUUGCUCUUCUCAGCACCUUUCUGCUUCUGCUACAGCCUUUGUGAGCCCUGUGCUGGGGUGCUGAAAACACACAGUGCUGAUGAUGUGGAUGCACUGAGCUGCGUAGGUGUAGAUCUCAUUUGCAAGUGGUAAUGAGAUGCCACCCCUCCUCAUCUCCUGAGAAUCCCGUGGAAGAGGGCUCCCAUGGUGGGCACCUUGGCAAGUAAGCUCUGCAGGCUGCCUGUGCUUUCAGUAUCACAGGAUCCCAAAGGAAGCCCCAGUUUGAAUAAAGCCAGAGAUGUGCCUUGCACCUCCUUGUCCACGGGGCAGCUGAGGAGGGGCAGAUGUCCCCCAGGGCCCCGUGGUCAGGCCUGGCAGCACGUGCACAGCAGCUCACGGGUGCCCAGCGUGCCAGACCAUCCGGCUCUCCAGAUGUUCCCUCCU